This is a non-coding RNA of Myodes glareolus (Bank vole), 1030 nucleotides long. Lineage: Eukaryota; Metazoa; Chordata; Mammalia; Rodentia; Cricetidae. The record is from RefSeq and is a predicted model, not a curated record.
UUUAUGAAUUUAUUUACACCUUGUCUGAGUUAUAAUAAAUGAUUACUGUCCUAUUAUACAAACGUAACAGUAAAGGUUUUUAAAUACAAAGACUGCAAAUGAAUACAUGAAAAAUUACACACAUGUACAAUAUUUAUAAUUUAUAAAUGUAAAGAUAAGACUUCUUUAAAUUAUUGCACUUACGCACUUUACAAAGAUAUUUUUUUAAUGUCAGACAUAUAAAAUCAUCUUUUUGGAAUUUACUAACUCAUCAACUACAAUAGUGUUGGAUAUUGUUAACUUGAAAUUCUUUUUCUUUCCCCUUCCAAAAGAGAGCCCAUUAAGGCUUUGGCUGCCGACCCGUCCCCUGAGGAUCAGUUGCUUGGACCUGCGGUUCCUGUUUCCAGCAGGUGUUGGCUAGCUAGGAGGCUGUCACCGUGACCUCUGAGGUGCCUUGGCUGGGUGCAGAUGGAAAAUCUCUUUUGUUCAUGUGUUCAUGUGGAGAAAGCUGUUCUUCUCAGGAAGAGUCCAGACGCUGCAUUUGCUGUUUGGAAGUGGGACGCUGACAGUCACCCCAGCUUUGCGCUGCUUCCUCGGCCACUCCUGCCCUCUACUUUGUUUCGAUCAACAGACAACUAAUUGAUAGUGACACAUUUUAUGAUUGGAUUUCAUCACCCAGACUCAAAACACUUCACGUUGGUGUUGGCAUGAACUUAAGUAUCCACGAACAUUUUUUCCCCAGAUAAAAAGGGACCACAAAGUGUGGAAAAAAAUUAAUAACCACCACGACUCUAAAACUUGUGUGUUAAAUGCUCAUAAAUAAUUUCAGUAAGUGGAACUUUCUCUUAAUAUUCAUUGUUUGUCACUAAGUUUGCACCAGACACUAAUGAGAAAUUCCUGGAAAUCCUCGGUGGGAGGAAGCAUGGAGAGAAAAGAGGUGGGAAAAACUUAGAGGCAGGAUUCCAGUGCCUGUCUGCUAAAUAUACUUGCCAACACACACACACACACACACACACACACACACACACACACACACACACACUUGACUGCA